CCCUUAGAUGUUCGGGGCCGCACGCGCGCUACACUGAAGGAAUCAGCACGUCUUUCUCCUUGUCCGAAAGGACUGGGUAACCCGCUGAACCUCCUUCGUGCUAGGGAUUGGGGCUUGUAAUUCUUCCCCAUGAACGAGGAAUUCCCAGUAAGCGCGAGUCAUAAGCGCGCGUUGAUUACGUCCCUGCCCUUUGUACACACCGCCCGUCGCUACUACCGAUUGGAUGGUUUAGUGAGAUCCUCGGAUUGGUCCCGGAGCGGCCUCUGGUCGUGCCGGAGUGCCGAAAAGAAUGUCGAACUUGAUCAUCUAGAGGAAGUAAAAGUCGUAACA
This 330-nucleotide ribosomal RNA is filed under the name uncultured eukaryote. RNAcentral describes it as "partial 18S ribosomal RNA". It matches the Rfam family "Eukaryotic small subunit ribosomal RNA", at positions 1470 to 1796 of the family's 1831-position model. The record is from RNAcentral.